GAUUGCCCCAGUAACGGCGAGUGAAGCGGCAACAGCUCAAAUUUGAAAUCUGGCCCCCAGGGCCCGAGUUGUAAUUUGCAGAGGAUGCUUUUGGUGAGGCACCUACCGAGUCCCCUGGAAUGGGGCGCCACAGAGGGUGAGAGCCCCGUAUGGUAGGACGCCGAACCUCUGUAAAGCUCCUUCGACGAGUCGAGUAGUUUGGGAAUGCUGCUCUAAAUGGGAGGUAAAUUUCUUCUAAAGCUAAAUACCGGCCAGAGACCGAUAGCGCACAAGUAGAGUGAUCGAAAGAUGAAAAGCACUUUGAAAAGAGGGUUAAAAAGUACGUGAAAUUGUUGAAAGGGAAGCGCUUGUGACCAGACUUGCGCCUGGCGGAUCAUCCAGCGUUCUCGCUGGUGCACUCCGCCAGGCUCAGGCCAGCAUCGGUUCUCGCCGGGGGACAAAGGCUUCGGGAACGUGGCUCCUUUCGGGGAGUGUUAUAGCCCGUUGCGUAAUACCCCGGCGGGGACCGACGACCGCGCUUCGGCAAGGAUGCUGGCGUAAUGGUCAUCAGCGACCCGUCUUGAAACACGGACCGAGGAGUCAAGCAUUAGUGCGAGUGUUUGGGUGUAAAACCCGCACGCGUAAUGAAAGUGAACGUAGGUGAGAGCUUCGGCGCAUCAUCGACCGAUCCUGAUGUUUUCGGAAGGAUUUGAGUAGGAGCAUUAACGCUUGGACCCGAAAGAUGGUGAACUAUACUUGAAUAGGGUGAAGCCAGAGGAGACUCUGGUGGAGGCUCGCAGCGGUUCUGACGUGCAAAUCGAUCGUCAAAUUUGAGUAUAGGGGCGAAAGACUAAUCGAACCAUCUAGUAGCUGGU
This 854-nucleotide ribosomal RNA is filed under the name Pyricularia grisea. Its description in RNAcentral is "partial large subunit ribosomal RNA". It matches the Rfam family "Eukaryotic large subunit ribosomal RNA", at positions 73 to 955 of the family's 3401-position model. The record is from RNAcentral. Lineage: Eukaryota; Fungi; Ascomycota; Sordariomycetes; Magnaporthales; Pyriculariaceae.